Molecule: long non-coding RNA, 268 nt
Filed under: Elaeis guineensis (African oil palm)
Lineage: Eukaryota; Viridiplantae; Streptophyta; Magnoliopsida; Arecales; Arecaceae
Description: long non-coding RNA (EGUI_LNC002319)
Source: RNAcentral
UGUGUGUGUGUGUGUGUGUGUAGAGAAGGAAAGAAAGAACGAGAGUAUUCAGAGGAUUAGAGAAGGGAGGGCUACUAACUGGCCCAUAAUUCCGACAAUGGCGAGACAAAGGGGCCCAUCGGCCGGUACUAGCCGUUGAAAGCCUGUCCGUUUCCCCCAGUCUCUAUUCCAAGUCUUGACCCCCCACCGGUCAGUCUUCCUUCCUUGGGUCUUCAUGACUUGAUGCCCCUCCCUGAUGAUGUUAUCACUUACAUUAAUUAGCUAGUCA